This 75-nucleotide transfer RNA is filed under the name Pampus minor. RNAcentral's name for it is "tRNA-Leu". It matches the Rfam family "tRNA". Rfam says of the family: Transfer RNA (tRNA) molecules are approximately 80 nucleotides in length. Their secondary structure includes four short double-helical elements and three loops (D, anti-codon, and T loops). The record is from RNAcentral. Lineage: Eukaryota; Metazoa; Chordata; Actinopteri; Scombriformes; Stromateidae.
GUUAGUAUGGCAGAGCCAGGUUACAUGCACAAGACCUAAGCCCUUAUAACAGAGGUUCAAAUCCUCUUCCUAACU